GUCAGCAUGAACCCCACUGAAGUGAAGAAGACAAGACAGCAUUGAUAUUGCUUUGCAUCGCGGACGACAGAGAAAUGAUAGGAAAUUCAGUUUUCAAUGUGUUGCGAAGGUUUCUUCUUCAACGUCAAGUUUCAUUUCUACGUUCUUCACAGUCUCAGCUGAAAAAUACCCUAUUUUUACCCUCAAAAUCGUUCUCAUCAUCAGCAUCUGUAUUCCCAAAUAACCCAUUUACAAUAAUCAUAUUCCCAUCUCCUCCGCUCAGAAGUCCCCAUUCUUUCAGCCCGGAGAGGCCUCUGCUCAUCCCCAGAUGGCCCAAAGGGAAGAAUCCAGAAGGCAGCCCAGGAGGUGAGGAUAUUAGCCCAGCUGGGAGCAAAAAGAAAGACCAAAUGGGUGAGGGCAGAUUGGACAGUUCACCAAAGCAGCUGAAAUUAGUUGAAGUUUCCUUUCCAGAAUCAAGAGAAGAAUCCUUAGUGGUGGGGUCCAUUUAUGGUUAGAAGGCUGCGCAUAUAUUGAGAAAAACGCAUGGAAUAGAAAGGCAGAAGAUAUUGCUCAGAGUAUUGCUGCUGGUUGAGAGAAAUUGAUUGGAGAGGACUGGCUCUGGAAACCCAGCAUAUUUAUUGCUCAUUUCUAUUGUUCUUGUUGUUGCCUUUUGUGGAUUCUUGUUUUCUUUGUUUAACUCAUUAUUGCAGACUGGGCAUAUUACUGAAGUUAUUGUUACAUUAUAGCCAUGAAAUGAAAUAUUAAAUUCUGCUCAAUUUAAUCUCAAUACAAAACUGUUCAAAUGUAUAAUUGAUGUCAGGCCAAUGAGGGUGAACAUAUAACUCUGUUUGUUUCCUUUCUUUCCUUACCGUGAAUGAAAGUUUGGGGGAUGUUGAUUGAGUUGUAGUUGGAAAGAUACUGGGAUAUUGAAUCUGUAGGAAGAAGCUGUGUCUGGAACCUGCUGGAGGAGCUGUUGAGAGCUGCUGGAACCAUCAGCUAGGUGGAUAAUUGGCCAUCCUUACAGGUGCCUCCAAUAUAUCCCUCACCAAGUCAGGAGAAGAGUUCAAUAGUUCACUUAGCAAAGCUAAAGGCAGGUUUAUAUCUCUUUUCGUAGAAGAGUUGAGUGCGAAAUACCCUCAUGCAAAGACAUAUAAGAUUGACAUGGAUCAGGUAGGAUCCAUGUUAGUGCCAUGUAAUUUUUUAUUCAUUGGAAGGUACAUAUUGUAUUUGCUGUACAUUAUAUCUAUCCAGGAUAUUUUUCUACUCAAUGUUAUAAUAUUUUUCUUCUUCCAUUUCCUUUUCCCUUUUGUUGUGGAGAUCAUGAGUGUGUAGAUUAUCGAAUUAGACAUACUGUAAAAAUAUAGAUUUUUUGUCAUGUUGCUGCCUUUGAGUUAUUUACGUAAUCUGCAGCAAAGUAUGUGAAUCUUUUUUAUUCCCCAGUAAAAAUAGUUCUGUAUAACCACUUACUAAACACAAUACAUUGAUGGAAGUUCUAUUGUGAUGAUUUUUUUAAUCUGGCGGGGCUGAAAUCUAUGCUGCAAUCUCCUUACAUAAACCACCAUUUUGGAUAGUGCUGUUAUGAAUAAUGUAUGAGAUGAAGUCUGGAUUUGGAGGUUGGUUAUUCUAGUUUCUAUCUAGUUAUCAUUAGAUGUAAUGCCUGCCUAUGAAGGAGAUAAAUUUAUUUUGCUUGAUGAUAGUGUAACUGUCUUUAAAAAAGGUUGGUUGAACUAACAUGGUCAUUCUAUUGCAGGAAGGCCUUGGAAGCACAUUGGGCAAGCUAAAUAUCACUGCUGUGUUUGAAGUAAUGUGCAUGCUGCUGAAUGUUGGUUGGCAAUUUCAUUUUAGCCUAACUAGUCACACCAUUUCUUUGUUGCUACUCUGCAACUUUUCUUUGUGCUGCAGCCAACACUUAUUUUUCUUUAAUAAUGGGGAAAAGGCAGCUGAAAUAAUUGGUUCUGAUGUUGCACACUUGAAGGGCACUAUGGGAAAACUUUACAGCCCUCUUAUGAAACUUUGCAUCAGCUCAAACGAACUCGAAUUCGAAUUAGACAUUAUGGAUAUGGACCGAUGCAUUACAAUUUUUGGCUUGAGCGUUGCAUCAUAUCCUAAAUUAAUCACACAAUGUUUUUCUGGAUGCUACGUAGAACCUUUCUUUUGAGCAUUUCUUCAUACUUUUCAUUCCAGGAAGGACUAAAUGAAGAGAGAAGUUCUGAGGAAGUAUUUUUCGCAAGCAUUUUCUGAAUAGAUUAGCUUGUAAUGUUCUCUAGGCUGAAAGAUUGAGGAAAUACGAAACCAUCUCCCUUAAAGCUUAAACUUCAAAUUCAAGUGGCAUAUGCUGCAAGAGAAGGGGCAUGGAUCUAGUUGAGAGAAGAAUGUCAGAAUGAUGGGAACAGAAUAAUUGACUGAAUAGGGGAACAGCUAGGGCUAUAAGUAGAGCUUCAGAAGCAGAUGAAUAAGGAUAAGAGCAGGUAGUCCAGAUGAAUGGUCAAAAGAUUGGGACAAGACAAUCAUAGAGCCAGUCUGAAAGCAUCUGAUUUUGUAACAGUUUUUCGGUCCAUUUCCAUCUCAAAUUUAUAUAUUUCCCCAAUGACAAUAUCUACUUCAUACAUAUUCAUAUUUAGCCAUGGCGAAAAA
Mangifera indica (mango) is the source of this 2613-nucleotide RNA transcript. RefSeq lists it as uncharacterized. Lineage: Eukaryota; Viridiplantae; Streptophyta; Magnoliopsida; Sapindales; Anacardiaceae. The transcript has 8 exons. The record is from RefSeq and is a predicted model, not a curated record.